UAUUCUCAACCCUCCUGCGGUUUUUGUUUUUGCAAAGUCUGCAGGCUGGGAUUGGACUUGGAGGUCUUAUUGCUGAGCUUCGUUUUUUUUGAAGCUUGGCUCCUCUGAAAUGCAUUAGCUUGAACAAUUUUUACCCAAGCAUGAUCCAGCGUGAUAAUUGUCUACGCUGCCUCAUCGUGGUGAAGCAACCUCGGUUGUUUGUUUGUCCAGGCUUCGAACUGUCUCCUCCGGGGACAAAACUCAUCUGAAC
Molecule: unclassified non-coding RNA, 250 nt
Filed under: uncultured Agaricomycetes
Lineage: Eukaryota; Fungi; Basidiomycota; Agaricomycetes
Description: sequence contains ITS2
Source: RNAcentral